GUGAGGAAUAUUGGUCAAUGGGCGGAAGCCUGAACCAGCCAUCCCGCGUGCAGGAAGACGGCCCUAUGGGUUGUAAACUGCUUUUCCAGGGGGCGAAACUUUCCGAUGUAUCGGGAUUUGACGGUACCCUGGGAAUAAGCAUCGGCUAACUCCGUGCCAGCAGCCGCGGUAAUACGGAGGAUGCGAGCGUUAUCCGGAUUUAUUGGGUUUAAAGGGUGCGUAGGCGGAUCGAUAAGUCAGUGGUGAAACCCUGCAGCUUAACUGUAGACUUGCCGUUGAUACUGUUGGUCUUGAGUGUGGUCAAGGUAGGCGGAAUGUGUAAUGUAGCGGUGAAAUGCUUAGAUAUUACACAGAACACCGAUUGCGAAGGCAGCUUACUGGGCCAUUACUGACGCUGAUGCACGAAAGCGUGGGGAUCGAACAGGAUUAGAAACCCUUGUAGUCC
This 445-nucleotide ribosomal RNA is filed under the name uncultured bacterium. RNAcentral describes it as "partial 16S ribosomal RNA". It matches the Rfam family "Bacterial small subunit ribosomal RNA", at positions 354 to 796 of the family's 1533-position model. The record is from RNAcentral.